CGUAGGGUGCGAGCGUUAAUCGGAAUUACUGGGCGUAAAGCGUGCGCAGGCGGUUUUUGUAAGACAGAUGUGAAAUCCCCGGGCUCAACCUGGGACCUGCAUUUGUGACUGCAAGGCUAGAGUACGGUAGAGGGGGAUGGAAUUCCGCGUGUAGCAGUGAAAUGCGUAGAUAUGCGGAGGAACACCGAUGGCGAAGGCAAUCCCCUGGACCUGUACUGACGCUCAUGCACGAAAGCGUGGGGAGCAAACAGGAUUAGAUACCCUGGUAGUCCACGCCCUAAACGAUGUCAACUGGUUGUUGGGUCUUUACUGACUCAGUAACGAAGCUAACGCGUGAAGUUGACCGCCUGGGGAGUACGGCCGCAAGGCUG
This 371-nucleotide ribosomal RNA is filed under the name uncultured organism. Its description in RNAcentral is "bacterial SSU rRNA". It matches the Rfam family "Bacterial small subunit ribosomal RNA", at positions 526 to 896 of the family's 1533-position model. The record is from RNAcentral.